This 145-nucleotide small nucleolar RNA is filed under the name Loxodonta africana (African savanna elephant). RNAcentral describes it as "Small nucleolar RNA SNORA74 (ENSLAFG00000033034.1)". Lineage: Eukaryota; Metazoa; Chordata; Mammalia; Proboscidea; Elephantidae. The record is from RNAcentral.
CCCAGCUAUAGGCAGCUGCCUAGGUUGCCUAGUACCUAGGCAAGUGUUAUACCGCUGGGAGAACAGCAGCCCAUAUUUAGCUGGUUGGCAUUCUGGGCCUUGUUCAUUCCAACUCUGUUGUCAACUGUACCAGGAUGCCAGCACA